AGAGUUUGAUCCUGGCUCAGAACGAACGCUGGCGGCGUGGCUAACCCAUGCAAGUCGAGCGCGAAAGUUCCCUUCGGGGAGCAAUUAGCGCGGCGAAAGGGUGAGUAACACAUAGGUAACGUACCUUGAGCACGAGGAUAGUCCAUCGAAAGAUGGAGCAAUACUCGAUGAAGUCGCAUGAAUUCAGAUUCGAGCGAUCAAAGGGCGGGGAUUCCUUUAUCGGGACCUGCCGGCUCGGGAUCGGCCUAUGUCCCAUCAGCUUGUUGGUAGGGUAAAGGCCUACCAAGGCAACGACGGGUAGCCGGACUGAGAGGUUGACCGGCCUCAUUGGGACUGAGACACUGCCCAGACUCCUACGGGAGGCUGCAGGGAUGAAUAUUCCGCAAUGGGCGAAAGCCUGACGGAGCGACGCCGCGUGUGGGAAGAAGCUCUUCGGAGUGUAAACCACCGUCAGGGGUUACCAAGCAAAUCCCUUUAAUAGAGGGAGGCGUUGAGGAGCCCCAGAGGAAGCCACGGCUAACUUCGUGCCAGCAGCCGCGGUAAGACGAAGGUGGCAAGCGUUGUUCGGAAUCACUGGGCUUAAAGAGCACGUAGGCGGCCCGUUAAGCGUUUUGUGAAAUCCCUCGGCUCAACCGAGGAAUUGCUUGGCGAACUGGCGGGCUUGAGGCAGGUAGAGGCGCGCGGAACUCUUGGUGGAGCGGUGAAAUGCGUAGAUAUCAAGAGGAACGCCAGCGGCGAAAGCGGUGCGCUGGGCCUGAUUGAGGUUUCAGAUCCUAUUCGUAGGAUUCGGAGUCUCUUCUGACGCUGAGGUGCGAAAGCC
This 820-nucleotide ribosomal RNA is filed under the name uncultured bacterium. RNAcentral describes it as "bacterial SSU rRNA". It matches the Rfam family "Bacterial small subunit ribosomal RNA", at positions 9 to 873 of the family's 1533-position model. The record is from RNAcentral.